This 458-nucleotide ribosomal RNA is filed under the name uncultured bacterium. RNAcentral's name for it is "bacterial SSU rRNA". It matches the Rfam family "Bacterial small subunit ribosomal RNA", at positions 1 to 507 of the family's 1533-position model. The record is from RNAcentral.
ACUGACGAGUUUGAUCAUGGCUCAGAUUGAACGCUGGCGGCAUGGCUAAAACAUGCAAGUCGAACGAUCCCUUCGGGGAGAGUGGCGAAAGGGCGAGGAAUAGAAUCGAAUGUACCCCAAGGUGGGGGAUAGCCUCUGGAAACGGAGGGUAAUACCCCAUGUGCUCUACGGAGGAAAGGUUUACCGCCUUGGGAGCAGCGAUUCUCCUAUCAGGUAGUUGGUGAGGUAACGGCUCACCAAGCCGAAGACGGGUAGCGGGUGUGAGAGCAUGACCCGCCGCAUCGGGACUGAGACACUGCCCGGACUCCUACGGGAGGCUGCAGUAACGAAUCUUCCGCAAUGGGCGAAAGCCUGACGGAGCAAUGCCGCGUGUGGGAUGAAGCAUCUUCGAUGUGUAAACCACUGUCAGGGUCUAGGAAUACUGACCAGACCCAAAGGAAGGGCCGGCUAAUUCCGUG